Molecule: transfer RNA, 73 nt
Filed under: Candidatus Kuenenbacteria bacterium CG08_land_8_20_14_0_20_37_23
Lineage: Bacteria; Candidatus Kueneniibacteriota
Also listed under: 1 other name
Description: tRNA-Thr
Rfam family: tRNA
About the family: Transfer RNA (tRNA) molecules are approximately 80 nucleotides in length. Their secondary structure includes four short double-helical elements and three loops (D, anti-codon, and T loops).
Source: RNAcentral
GCCGAAGUAGCUCAGUUGGUAGAGCAGACGCUUCGUAAGCGCCAGGUCGAGAGUUCGAAUCUCUCCUUCGGCU